AGUUGUUGAUGAAUUGUAAAUCGCCUCAACAAUCGUCGAAAAUUGUUGUCUCAAAAGCAUUGCCUCAAAGCUCAGAGGAGGUUGGACACCAGGCCGCAAAGCAUCAUGGGUAUUGAGCGCCUAAUUCCACGCGUGCUUCAUUGACUGUUGACUGUCGAGGAGUGAACAUCUCUCUGACUAUGAAACCAAUAUGGAAGCAUUCGAACGACAAAUGGUUGUCGGUUUAAGGUUGGUAUUAAUUAGUACAAUGCACUACAGUUAUGUUGUUAUUUAGUCAAAUUUCCGCUUUGUUGUUUUUAUUCUUGUAUUGUAAUUUCAUAAAUACACUGUACAAAAUUAUGGCGUAAUAUUUGUGUUUAUUGCCUCUAGUUUGACCCUAUUGUGUUUUGUGUGUGAAUGUGUGUGUGUGUCUAUGUACUGUGUUACAUGUUUUGAGUUAAACAAAUUGUUUAAUACAUUUUUGCUGAAGUAUGAUGCCUGUUUGUAUCUAGUUGCGGACAUAUUUUUGCAUAUAUACCAGGUGAUCUCGUGUUCGUAUUUUAGCCAAUCAGCGCUCAGAAUGGGUUGUCUGAAUAGAAAUCCAUUUUGAUGUAUUCAGUCAAUUAUAUCUUUCGUUAUUCUUUAUGAAACUAGUUGAAAUUUUGUAAUUAUGUUUGGUUAUGAGAACUAUAGCUCUGACAAAAAUAUGGAAUCGAAAUAAAGUAUAUUACAGGAGAUAUUCAGUUGUUUUAAUCACAAAAUGGAUUUCUAUUUGACAACUAGUGCUAGUACUUUUCCGCGUAUCAAGAUCAUCUGGUAUGCAUACAGUAGUUAGAUAUUUGGCAAUAUUUAGUAGUUAGAUAUAUGGCAAUAUUUUUCAUACAGUAGUUAGAUAUAUGGCAAUAUUUUUCAAUUUUCAUCUGUAAAAUAUUGCCAUAUUUGUGUGUUGUUCUAAUAUUACUGUAAAUACUAUAGUGACACACUUUUGCAUUAGAUUGCUAAUUUUAGAGAUUACAGUGUAUGUAUAAAAUAGUAAAAUGAAAAUUUUCUUGUUAUGAUUUUGUAGUAGGAAGAAAUCUACUUGAGUGGUUGGCUGGUCUUGAACCUGGUCAGGAUGGAUAUGGUAAUGAAGGUGAUAGGGCAGAAAGUCGUGACCAGUUAAGUGGUGAGGAUGAAAGUGACAAGGACGAAAUCACCCAUGCUGUACCAUUCAAGUGCAUCAGUGCUGCUCAUGAGAAAAACUACCAACAUCAUUUGGAACAGGCAUACUUUGCUCUUCAUGGACUGAAUGGACUUGAAUCCAAUGGACCCAAGUGCAAUUGAUCUAGACUAUGGAACAGGAUGGACACAUGUUGGUUAUAUUGCUUCUGAACUAUGCAAGUAUUUGCACCCACUAAUUGCCGCAGGAGAUAUCUUAGAGGUCUAUGUUCAGCAUAUCAGGUGUAGGGUUGACUUUUUAAAAAUAGGAUUUUAUCCAAAAAAUUCAUAAAGCGAUGUGGUGAGUGGGAGACUCAAGUGGUAAAUAAGAGCAUGAGUGUACAUUGACAGAUGUUUGUGAUAUAAUAGCAACUGACUAGGUUUAGCAAGUUAUAGAAAUGCUGUUAUUUCAAUUGGCUAACUUUUUAGAUUUUUUUCAGCAUUUUUCAACAAAAACUAGGUUAAUCACAAGUGGGUGCAAUUAAAACAAUGUCUGUCUGUGAUGCACAUUCAUGCAAUUAAGUACACAAUUGUAACAUGUGGUGAACAAAAUAAACAAAUAAAUAGUUUAUGCAUUCACUUGAC
RNAcentral lists this long non-coding RNA (1761 nucleotides) under Paramuricea clavata. The record is from RNAcentral. Lineage: Eukaryota; Metazoa; Cnidaria; Anthozoa; Malacalcyonacea; Plexauridae.